RNAcentral lists this microRNA precursor (155 nucleotides) under Podarcis lilfordi (Lilford's wall lizard). Lineage: Eukaryota; Metazoa; Chordata; Lepidosauria; Squamata; Lacertidae. The record is from RNAcentral.
GCUGAGUGGGGAGAAGAGAGGGACAGAGAGCCUGCUUCUUUAAAGGAGCAAAGCGGGAGAGGAGAGGAGCCGCUUACACAAGUGUAAGCGGCUCCUGUCCGGUUGGUUCCUUUAAAGCAAGCAGGCUCUCUGUCCCUCUCUCCUCCCCACUCAGC